AAUGCGUGAAAAUUAAGCACUUUGGCUCUGCCAGUAAACAAGCAACUUUUAACUUUAUGUUUAAACCGCUUUCAAGACCUUCUCACACAUACAAAAAAACCAUAGAAACCCCGAAAAAAAUCAGUGGGAAACUUGAAAGCGGCAAAGACCGACAAAAUUUAAAAGAAACAAUAACGAAUUGAAGGUUGUUUUUUAAACGAACAAGAAAGUAGUUGGUUUCACAAUUAUUAUAUGAUGUAGUUGCGGAUGUGAUGAUUAUAUGUAAUUGGAGCAAAAUAUCUUUGUUAAACACCUCCUUCUACAGAACAGGUGACAAAUAGGUACACGCACUUUAACACAUUCAGUCCAGAAGAUGUUGUUUUUACUGAACAACAAUAUUCAGUCUUAUCGAUAAAAAUGUGAUAACAAACACUUUGAUAUUAAUUAACACAAUUAAUUAAGAAAAACCGCACUAAAAAU
Lucilia sericata (common green bottle fly) is the source of this 459-nucleotide long non-coding RNA. RefSeq lists it as uncharacterized. NCBI's taxonomy places the organism in Eukaryota, Metazoa, Arthropoda, Insecta, Diptera, Calliphoridae. The record is from RefSeq and is a predicted model, not a curated record. The transcript is spliced from 3 exons.